RNAcentral lists this long non-coding RNA (441 nucleotides) under Bos taurus (domestic cattle). Its description in RNAcentral is "long non-coding RNA NONBTAT014205". Lineage: Eukaryota; Metazoa; Chordata; Mammalia; Artiodactyla; Bovidae. The record is from RNAcentral.
GAAUACUCUGGUAUUCCUCUGUUUCAGGGAUUGGGGCUAGCCACAAUUCUAUCACGGUGUGUUGAGGUCUGGGUUUAUUUCAACAUCUACUUUUGUGGAAGCAGAUAUCUUAUUUAAUUGAGAUGUGCUCCAAAUAAUUUUGAACUCUGGCUGUACUUAACUAUAACUUUACUCAAGAUUUUACAGUUAUUCAAAUACUAUUCCACAUAUAUUUUCUGUUGAUUCUUAAUGUGCCUUAAAGCUAAGGGAUAUAAAGUAGAAUCAUUAUUUGAUAUAAUGCAUGACUUAUGUGUGAUGCUGGUUAAAAAUUUUUUUAUCAUAAAAUUCAUUUUGGUUCUAGAAUAUUUAAAAAGAAAAAAGUGAAAUUAUAAACCAAAGAGAGUCAACUUUUUAUAUACCUACAAUGUUAGUAAAUAUUCUUCCAAAUUUUGUUGUUAGAUC